GAAAUGUUCGUCUCAAAAUAAAGCAAAGGAGAACACCAGUAGCAUACAAAAGUUUGGCGCGUGAGUGUAAAGAUAAAAUUGAGAUGGAAUAAUAUUGGCCCAGCGGAGAAUUGGGGUGAAAUGAUUGUAGGCCUUAUGCCAGGUGUCAAUAUACAAUAGGUUGUUGUAUUUUGAUGUCGUACAUCGGACUGGUAUAAUUUGCGGAGUUUCUUGCACUUUUCCUCGUCAAACAUCAACUUACAGGAGACUCACUCCAAAAAGCUCGCUUACUGUCUCAGUCCUCUAACUAAUACUGUUCCCCGCCUGUUCCACCAUGAAAAUCCGGCCAAACUCCACCCCUACUUUGCCAUCUCUUUUUCGCUCCCGAUAGAUCACUGCCGUUAUUCGAUAACAACAGCUAAUCCAUUGGUAUAUGCUUAUGGAUUACAGAAAGAGCUCACGGUGUGGGUGCAUGAACUGAAAUUUGCAAACGCACACCCCUCUGCUCACUGCUGACUUCACUAAUGGCUUCCACCAGUUCAACGCCUACUGACCCUUCUUCUUUUAUGGCCGAGGACACGGCAGCCAAAGCUGUGAUCAAGCGAUACGAAGGGUUGGUUGCGGUUCGAACGAAGGCGACAAAGGGCAAAGGAGCAUGGUACUGGACUCAUUUAGAGCCAAUUCUCAUCAGAAACCCAGACACAAGUCUCCCCAAAGCUGUCAAACUCAAGUGUUCUUUAUGCGACGCCGUCUUUUCAGCCUCAAACCCAUCGAGAACCGCCACUGAGCAUCUCAAACGAGGCACCUGCCCCAAUUUCAACUCCGUUUUGAGACCCAAUUCCGUAGUUUCGCCUUUGCCUAUUUCGUCUUUGCCU
This 854-nucleotide unclassified non-coding RNA is filed under the name Hevea brasiliensis (rubber tree). The record is from RNAcentral. Lineage: Eukaryota; Viridiplantae; Streptophyta; Magnoliopsida; Malpighiales; Euphorbiaceae.